This 460-nucleotide ribosomal RNA is filed under the name uncultured bacterium. RNAcentral describes it as "partial 16S ribosomal RNA". It matches the Rfam family "Bacterial small subunit ribosomal RNA", at positions 338 to 795 of the family's 1533-position model. The record is from RNAcentral.
ACUACGGGGGGCAGCAGUGAGGAAUAUUGGUCAAUGGGCGAGAGCCUGAACCAGCCAAGUCGCGUGAAGGAUGACGGCCCUACGUGUUGUAAACUUCUUUUGUCAGGGAGCAAUUGGGUCCACGCGUGGGCUUAGCGAGAGUACCUGAAGAAAAAGCAUCGGCUAACUCCGUGCCAGCGGCCGCGGUAAUACGGCGGAUGCGAGCGUUAUCCGGAUUUAUUGGGUUUAAAGGGUGCGUAGGCGGAAUAUCAAGUCAGCGGUAAAAAUUCGGGGCUCAACCCCGUCGUGCCGUUGAAACUGAUGUUCUUGAGUGGGCGAGAAGAAGGCGGAAUGCGUGGUGUAGCGGUGAAAUGCAUAGAUAUCACGCAGAACUCCGAUUGCGAAGGCAGCAUACCGGCGCCCAACUGACGCUGAAGCACGAAAGCGUGGGUAUCGAACAGGAUUAGAUACCCGAGUAGUC